GGUGGCUCAGUGGUAGAGCGCUUGCCUUGCAUGCAUGAGGCCCUGGAUCGAUAACCCAGCACCA
This 64-nucleotide transfer RNA is filed under the name Dipodomys ordii (Ord's kangaroo rat). It matches the Rfam family "tRNA". From Rfam's summary of the family: Transfer RNA (tRNA) molecules are approximately 80 nucleotides in length. The record is from Rfam by way of RNAcentral. Lineage: Eukaryota; Metazoa; Chordata; Mammalia; Rodentia; Heteromyidae.